AGGCUUUAAGCCCCAACCCUGCUUACUUCCGAGUCAGGGGAACUUGAUGCUUCUUGACCAACCACGGCAGCAGGCACAACCCCUGCCUGCCUGACGCCAUGAGAACGAAGCUGAGGUGCGGCGGGACGGGCCUAGGCCUUCCUGGGGCAGCAGGACCAGGGGCUUGCCGCAGCACCUCAGCCCUUCAGGUUAGGCCAGAGCUGCUGCAGGAACAUGGAGCCCCAAGGCCCGUACCCCCACUUUACUACAUGAGGUACAGACAUCAGACUUCUGGCAUCUGUAUUUUCACCCUGGCUGUCUCCAGCCCAGGAAGCAGACAAGAUUCCAGCUGGCACACCUAGGCUGCACCAGCACCACCGUGGAGGGCUCAACGGGCACUCUGUGUCACAUUUCAUCAAGAUACUGGCUUUGAAGUUGGCCACACAAACCUACCUGCUCACUGCCUGCCAUACAUCCUGACUGUUGCCUGUAAAACACAAAGUCUAUUUCUGACAAUACUAUUUCUAUAUCACUUUUGCUCUACGGCCUGUUAAAGUUUCAGAAGAAUGACUUCCCUUAUAGAUAAUCCUGUAAGACAUCUUGCAACAGCUGGCAUUCCUGGGUUUGUUAAAAAGUUUAUAAAGCAAAAUAGAGCAAAAAAAAUCAAUACUAAAAUGGCAUUUUAAAAGUGAAGGGAAGGAAAUUUGGCUUUGAUCUUAAAAUGAUUACCACUUUCUUAAAAAAGAAAGGCUCCUUAUUUUUUGCAUUUACGUCAAACACAAAGACAAAACCCAGAAUGUGCAUCCAGGCUUUUCUAGGAUUCAGAUAUGCAGCUUAGAUUUGUGCUUGCCUUUGCCAGCAGUGUACAUUUUUAUUUUAAUAAAUACCUCAUCUAUGUGCA
This 880-nucleotide long non-coding RNA is filed under the name Anser brachyrhynchus (Pink-footed goose). RNAcentral describes it as "lncRNA (ENSABRG00000010458.1)". Lineage: Eukaryota; Metazoa; Chordata; Aves; Anseriformes; Anatidae. The record is from RNAcentral.